This 322-nucleotide ribosomal RNA is filed under the name uncultured Bodomorpha. Its description in RNAcentral is "SSU rRNA". The stretch from base 61 to 322 matches the Rfam family "Eukaryotic small subunit ribosomal RNA", at positions 694 to 955 of the family's 1831-position model. Lineage: Eukaryota; Cercozoa; Glissomonadida. The record is from RNAcentral.
GAUUUCUGGUCUGGAGCGCCUGGCCCGCCACGUUAGUGUGUGAGUGCCGGGUCGCCCCUGCCAUCCUUCUAGAGAACAUAUCUACCCUUCACUGGGCCGGAUAUGCCAUCUAGAUGUUUUACUUUGAAAAAAUUAGAGUGUUUAAAGCAGGCAUUAUUGCUAUGAAUACAUUAGCAUGGAAUAAUAAUUUAGGACUUCGGUUCUAUUUUGUUGGUUUCUAGGACUGAAGUAAUGAUUGAUAGGGAUAGUUGGGGGUGCUAGUAUUCAGUGGCCAGAGGUGAAAUUCUCGGAUUCACUGAAGACUAACUUAUGCGAAAGCAUU